UACGGAAGGCAGCAGUGGGGAAUAUUGCACAAUGGGCGCAAGCCUGAUGCAGCCAUGCCGCGUGUAUGAAAAGGCCUUCGGGUUGUAAAGUACUUUCAGUCGUGAGGAAGGUGUUAAGGUUAAUAACCUCAGCAAUUGACGUUAGCGACAGAAGAAGCACCGGCUAACUCCGUGCCAGCAGCCGCGGUAAUACGGAGGGUGCGAGCGUUAAUCGGAAUUACUGGGCGUAAAGGGCACGCAGGCGGUUAAUUAAGUUGGAUGUGAAAUCCCCGGGCUUAACCUGGGAAUGGCAUUCAAGACUGGUUAGCUAGAGUCUUGUAGAGGGGGUAGAAUUCCAUGUGUAGCGGUGAAAUGCGUAGAGAUGUGGAGGAAUACCGGUGGCGAAGGCGGCCCCUGGGACAAAGGACUGACGCUCAUGUGCGAAAGCGUGGGGAGCAAACAGGGAUUAGAUACC
RNAcentral lists this ribosomal RNA (454 nucleotides) under uncultured bacterium. RNAcentral describes it as "bacterial SSU rRNA". It matches the Rfam family "Bacterial small subunit ribosomal RNA", at positions 340 to 786 of the family's 1533-position model. The record is from RNAcentral.